Molecule: long non-coding RNA, 2010 nt
Organism: Zalophus californianus (California sea lion)
Lineage: Eukaryota; Metazoa; Chordata; Mammalia; Carnivora; Otariidae
Source: Ensembl
CCACAAAGUGCUAAAGUCAGUUGUGAAUUUUAUUAAAAAUAAGCACUAUGCCUGGGUUUCAUAAAAUUUAUACAUGAAUAUGUACAGACACAAAUAAAAUAAUAUUAAAAAUAAAAAUCACGCUUGCUUUCACGUGGCAGUGGUCCUGGCACCCCACAUACAUAAUGCUAACUUUUCCUUUAAAGAAAUUGCUUGGCCCAAGGAGACCACAGUUAGAGAUCACCGAACCACUAAUAAAGCUGUAGCCCGUUGCCUGCAACAUUUUCAACUCAGGUCUCAAAAAUAUAUAAAUAAUUUAAUUACAAAACCCAACUUUUUUUUUUUUUUAUCUUUUGGCACAGUGAAGCAUUGGUCAAUAGCAGAGAAAUGACUGAAGAUUCUCUGACACCUCUCUCACACUCAGUCAUGCCUGUAAAUGCCACAUACUUACAUGGAGCGAGGGCCAUUAAACCCGGAACAGUAGUCAUAUCAUUUAUCAUAUGGAAUGUUUCCCUGAUUUUUUUUUAAGGGACAAGUCAAUGGAGGGUGCGACAAAAAUAGGAGUAAGGGGGAGUAAGAAGAUAGGCAAAGUCUUUGUGAAGUGAGGGAGGGACAGGCUUGGUCAAGAACCUAAAGCAAUUAUGGAGAAUUGGUUUGGUCUUCUGUAAAGUCACAAAAGAAAAACGAAAAUAUUCUGAAUUAAAUUAAAACACUCUGUCAAAAAUACUUUAGCUUUAAGGCACGUUUGAUGGAGAUUUUUUUUUAACGUCUUUUUUUGUCUGGCUAGAAAAUGCAAAGCCCUGGCCUGCGUUUCCUGCCUCCCCGACGGCGCCCACCCUUGCCUGGCUCCGCGGCGCUGCUCAGGCCAGGAGCGUCUCCACUGGGUAAGGCAGGUGCGGGCCGGGGCCACAGGACGAGGACGCCUGCAGGGCCGCGGGCAGCCGCAGGGGGCAGUACAGGUGCGAGCCGCCGCCGGCCGCCGGGCCUCGAAAUGGCUUGGUUGGGGCCGAGGCGGAGAGGGGCGCGAGCAGGAGAUUCUGAACACUUGGGAAGAAUCCUGCAGAGAUUCAAGGUGGGCGUGAGAGGAUGGAUAAAACCUAGGUGUUCUUGUGACACUGAAGCUCAGCCCGAAAACCUGCCUAUGGGACAGGAAGAGAGUUAAACUGGAGGUCGCCACUUUGAGAAUGCCGCCUGCUUGAACUUUGCCCAUCAGCUGCCACCUCACUCAACUCUCCUGAACCUUCUGGGACAUAUUAGAAGGGCUAGGAAUCCACAAACAGACAGAAAGUAUGAAAGCAAGGGGCAUUUUUCUGACUCAAGAUGCAUGCAGCAUUUCUGCAGUCCUUGCUUUUGGGAGGGAAGAAGACCUGAUGCUGGGCUCCUUGGAGGCUCACUCACACCUGCCAUUGGUGUAGAUUCUAGAAGACUGAAGUCCUGGGAAACUUCCUUUGGCUCCUCCAGGUCCACUCUCUAGCCUUUUCCACCAGGCCUGGUGCCCUGGAGCAAGUGAUGGACCUGAGGCUGAUUCCUGGUCUCUUCUGGAGGGAUCCUGGGGGGUUGGGCAGUGGGGGAAAGGGGCUGCUUCCUUCAGUGCAGGUCUGGAAGGUACUCUCUGCCUCUUGUUCACUGAACCCGGGAAUGCUUGUGUCCUGCCUCUGGGCCCAUGGGUGGCAGCAACACCCUGUGCUCGAGCCCACAGCCUUCCUUCAGAGAAGGGUCCUCCCCCACUUGCUUUUGUAUGCAUCCUCCUGGUUGUGUUGACCCGCCGAUGAGCCGAUGAGCUGGAUACAGCAAGCACUGCAGAGGCCUCAGGGGUGACAAUGCACAGACCAAGUUUGCAGGACCAGCCCCUUGGAAUGCUGUUGCCAGUUCCAAUGACUCUUGGGGCUUUCAGAUGCCCUGGGUGAGGCCGGCAAGAGCAGGACUUCCAGAGUCUUUGUGGCUGUCGGCGAUCUGGCUGACUGGGGACAGCAGAGAACAAACCGUGGUGGUGCAUGAUUCUGUUUCCUGAGUGGAAUUCGUGCGGGUGGC